RNAcentral lists this ribosomal RNA (498 nucleotides) under uncultured bacterium. Its description in RNAcentral is "bacterial SSU rRNA". It matches the Rfam family "Bacterial small subunit ribosomal RNA", at positions 30 to 504 of the family's 1533-position model. The record is from RNAcentral.
CGAACGUUAGCGGCGCGCUUAACACAUGCAAGUCGUACGAGAAAGAGUCUUCGGACUCCGGUAAAGUGGCGCACGGGUGAGUAACACGUAGGUAAUCUGCCCCUAGGCGGGGGAUAACUUUCCGAAAGGGAUGCUAAUACCGCAUAAGACCACGGUCAGUCCGCUGACCGGGGUUAAAGCUGGCCUCUACAUGUAAGCUAGCACCUGGGGAUGAGCCUGCGGCCCAUCAGCUUGUUGGUAGGGUAAUGGCCUACCAAGGUUAGGACGGGUAGCUGGUUUGAGAGGAUGAUCAGCCACACUGGCACUGAAACACGGGCCAGACUCCUACGGGAGGCAGCAGUGGGGAAUAUUGGACAAUGGGCGAAAGCCUGAUCCAGCGACGCCGCGUGAGUGAUGAAGGCCUUCGGGUUGUAAAGCUCUGUGGGGAGGGAAGAAAAAAGUGUGUUCAAAUAGGGCAUGCUAUUGACGGUACCUCCAUAGCAAGCACCGGCUAACUCU